AUUAGGUUCACACAUAGUAGACAUAUAUAAACUUACAACCAAAGUACAAAACACCUUUCUCUCCCAGCUUAGAUACAACUCAAAAAGGAAAAUCAAUUUGCAGUUUAAAUACAAAGAUACAUUUCCAACAGAGGGUGCACACCAUGGUGAGGUCUCUUGCUGAAACCAAGUCUCUGCCUUCAGUGUGAACAGCUUGCUGAUCCCCAGAAGAGACUCUCCCAGCUCCCCAACCCCAGCCCCUUUGAAGGGGGAUCUGGGAGUAAUUUGCUUUCACUUGACCCAAUGUCUCAUUUACAUAUUAAAUCCCACCCCUGCUCUUUUCUCAUUGGUUAGGACAAUAGUCAGUUAUGAGAUGGGCCCUUGUGCUUAAACUCAUUUCCUGAGGUUAGCUAGGAAGUGAGAAAACUCUGGAGGGUGAGGGUGGAGGCCUCAGGAUGGAAUAAAUUCCAGUGAGGGUUUAGCUAUGUCUUUCCCCUUCUUCCUGGCAGAGUCCAGAGCUCUUAACGUUCACCCAUUACCUCACUUACUUCUUACUCAAAGGUGAAGAAGUUGGCAGGGCAAGUUCAUUCCAGGGCUUUGAGGAUUUCACCCCCUGUCUCC
This 600-nucleotide long non-coding RNA is filed under the name Marmota monax (woodchuck). Lineage: Eukaryota; Metazoa; Chordata; Mammalia; Rodentia; Sciuridae. The record is from RNAcentral.